GCUGGGCGUGGUGGAGCACGCCUGUAAUCCCAGCUACUUGGGAGGCUGAGGCAAGAGAAUCACUUGAACCCAGGAGGCAGAGCUUGCAGUGAGCCGAGAUAGCACCAUUGCACUCCAGCCUGGGUGACAGAGUGAGACUCUGUCUCAA
This is an unclassified non-coding RNA of Macaca fascicularis (crab-eating macaque), 148 nucleotides long. It matches the Rfam family "Metazoan signal recognition particle RNA". From Rfam's summary of the family: The signal recognition particle (SRP) is a universally conserved ribonucleoprotein. It is involved in the co-translational targeting of proteins to membranes. The eukaryotic SRP consists of a 300-nucleotide 7S RNA and six proteins: SRPs 72, 68, 54, 19, 14, and 9. NCBI's taxonomy places the organism in Eukaryota, Metazoa, Chordata, Mammalia, Primates, Cercopithecidae. The record is from Ensembl.